This 82-nucleotide transfer RNA is filed under the name Pelodiscus sinensis (Chinese soft-shelled turtle). It matches the Rfam family "tRNA". From Rfam's summary of the family: Transfer RNA (tRNA) molecules are approximately 80 nucleotides in length. Their secondary structure includes four short double-helical elements and three loops (D, anti-codon, and T loops). Further hydrogen bonds mediate the characteristic L-shaped molecular structure. tRNAs have two regions of fundamental functional importance: the anti-codon, which is responsible for specific mRNA codon recognition, and the 3' end, to which the tRNAs corresponding amino acid is attached (by aminoacyl-tRNA synthetases). tRNAs cope with the degeneracy of the genetic code in two manners: having more than one tRNA (with a specific anti-codon) for a particular amino acid; and 'wobble' base-pairing, i.e. permitting non-standard base-pairing at the 3rd anti-codon position. Lineage: Eukaryota; Metazoa; Chordata; Testudines; Trionychidae. The record is from Rfam by way of RNAcentral.
GGUGAAGUGACUGAGAGGUUACGGUGAUGAAUUGUUACUCCACUGUGCUCUGCACAUGUGGGUUCGAAUCCCACCUUAGCUG